GACAGAGGGUGCAAACGUUGUUCGGAAUUACUGGGCGUAAAGCGCGUGUAGGCUGCUCUGUGUGUCGGAUGUGAAAUCCCCGGGCUUAACCUGGGAACUGCAUUUGUGACUGCAUGGCUGGAGUGCGGGCAGAGGGGGAUGGAAUUCCGCGUGUAGCAGUGAAAUGCGUAGAUAUGCGGAGGAACACCGAUGGCGAAGGCAUCCCCUGGGCCUGCACUGACGCUCGAUGCACGAAAGCGUGGGGAGCGAACAGG
Molecule: ribosomal RNA, 254 nt
Filed under: uncultured bacterium
Lineage: Bacteria
Description: partial 16S ribosomal RNA
Rfam family: Bacterial small subunit ribosomal RNA
Source: RNAcentral